RNAcentral lists this unclassified non-coding RNA (253 nucleotides) under uncultured Legionellaceae bacterium. RNAcentral describes it as "contains 16S-23S intergenic spacer region". It matches the Rfam family "Bacterial small subunit ribosomal RNA", at positions 524 to 776 of the family's 1533-position model. Lineage: Bacteria; Pseudomonadati; Pseudomonadota; Gammaproteobacteria; Legionellales; Legionellaceae. The record is from RNAcentral.
UACGGAGGGUGCGAGCGUUAAUCGGAAUUACUGGGCGUAAAGGGUGCGUAGGUUGCUCAUUAAGUUAUCUGUGAAAUACCCGGGCUUAACCUGGGUCUGUCAGAUAAAACUGGAGGGCUUGAGUAUAGGAGAGGGCAGUGGAAUUUCCGGUGUAGCGGUGAAAUGCGUAGAGAUCGGAAGGAACACCAGUGGCGAAGGCGGCUGCCUGGCCUAAUACUGACACUGAGGCACGAAAGCGUGGGUAGCAAACAGG